Molecule: ribosomal RNA, 253 nt
Filed under: uncultured bacterium
Lineage: Bacteria
Description: partial 16S ribosomal RNA
Rfam family: Bacterial small subunit ribosomal RNA
Source: RNAcentral
UACAGAGGGUGCAAGCGUUGUUCGGAAUUAUUGGGCGUAAAGGGCGCGUAGGCGGUUCGGCAAGUCUCUAGUGAAAUCUCUGGGCUCAACUCAGAGUCUGCUGGGGAAACUGCCGGGCUUGAGUGUGGGAGAGGAGAGUGGAAUUCCCGGUGUAGCGGUGAAAUGCGUAGAUAUCAGGAAGAACACCAACGGCGAAGGCAGCUCGCUGGGACGGAACUGACGCUGAGGCGCGAAAGCGUGGGGAGCGAACAGG